RNAcentral lists this ribosomal RNA (527 nucleotides) under Lodderomyces parapsilosis. RNAcentral describes it as "eukaryotic LSU rRNA". The stretch from base 184 to 337 matches the Rfam family "5.8S ribosomal RNA". The record is from RNAcentral. Lineage: Eukaryota; Fungi; Ascomycota; Pichiomycetes; Serinales; Debaryomycetaceae.
CUUCCGUAAGGGUGACCUGCGGAAGGAUCAUUACAGAAUGAAAAGUGCUUAACUGCAUUUUUUCUUACACAUGUGUUUUUCUUUUUUUGAAAACUUUGCUUUGGUAGGCCUUCUAUAUGGGGCCUGCCAGAGAUUAAACUCAACCAAAUUUUAUUUAAUGUCAACCGAUUAUUUAAUAGUCAAAACUUUCAACAACGGAUCUCUUGGUUCUCGCAUCGAUGAAGAACGCAGCGAAAUGCGAUAAGUAAUAUGAAUUGCAGAUAUUCGUGAAUCAUCGAAUCUUUGAACGCACAUUGCGCCCUUUGGUAUUCCAAAGGGCAUGCCUGUUUGAGCGUCAUUUCUCCCUCAAACCCUCGGGUUUGGUGUUGAGCGAUACGCUGGGUUUGCUUGAAAGAAAGGCGGAGUAUAAACUAAUGGAUAGGUUUUUUCCACUCAUUGGUACAAACUCCAAAACUUCUUCCAAAUUCGACCUCAAAUCAGGUAGGACUACCCGCUGAACUUAAGCAUAUCAAUAAGGCGGAGGAAGA